AUGAACGCUGGCGGCGUGCUUAACACAUGCAAGUCGAACGGAAAGGCCUCUGCUUGCAGGGGUACUCGAGUGGCGAACGGGUGAGUAACACGUGGGUGAUCUGCCCUGCACUUCGGGAUAAGCCUGGGAAACUGGGUCUAAUACCGGAUAGGACAAUGGUUUGGAUGCUGUUGUGGAAAGUUUUUCGGUGUGGGAUGAGCUCGCGGCCUAUCAGCUUGUUGGUGGGGUAAUGGCCUACCAAGGCGUCGACGGGUAGCCGGCCUGAGAGGGUGUACGGCCACAUUGGGACUGAGAUACGGCCCAGACUCCUACGGGAGGCAGCAGGGGGGAAUAUUGCACAAUGGGCGCAAGCCUGAUGCAGCGACGCCGCGUGGGGGAUGACGGCCUUCGGGUUGUAAACUCCUUUCGCUAGGGACGAAGCGUUUUUGUGACGGUACCUGGAGAAGAAGCACCGGCUAACUACGUG
Molecule: ribosomal RNA, 466 nt
Filed under: uncultured bacterium
Lineage: Bacteria
Description: partial 16S ribosomal RNA
Rfam family: Bacterial small subunit ribosomal RNA
Source: RNAcentral